This 1158-nucleotide ribosomal RNA is filed under the name Escherichia coli. Its description in RNAcentral is "partial 23S ribosomal RNA". It matches the Rfam family "Bacterial large subunit ribosomal RNA", at positions 1 to 1191 of the family's 2925-position model. Lineage: Bacteria; Pseudomonadati; Pseudomonadota; Gammaproteobacteria; Enterobacterales; Enterobacteriaceae. The record is from RNAcentral.
GGGUUGUGAGGUUAAGCGACUAAGCGUACACGGUGGAUGCCCUGGCAGUCAGAGGCGAUGAAGGACGUGCUAAUCUGCGAUAAGCGUCGGUAAGGUGAUAUGAACCGUUAUAACCGGCGAUUUCCGAAUGGGGAAACCCAGUGUGAUUCGUCACACUAUCAUUAACUGAAUCCAUAGGUUAAUGAGGCGAACCGGGGGAACUGAAACAUCUAAGUACCCCGAGGAAAAGAAAUCAACCGAGAUUCCCCCAGUAGCGGCGAGCGAACGGGGAGGAGCCCAGAGCCUGAAUCAGUGUGUGUGUUAGUGGAAGCGUCUGGAAAGGCGCGCGAUACAGGGUGACAGCCCCGUACACAAAAAUGCACAUGCUGUGAGCUCGAUGAGUAGGGCGGGACACGUGGUAUCCUGUCUGAAUAUGGGGGGACCAUCCUCCAAGGCUAAAUACUCCUGACUGACCGAUAGUGAACCAGUACCGUGAGGGAAAGGCGAAAAGAACCCCGGCGAGGGGAGUGAAAAAGAACCUGAAACCGUGUACGUACAAGCAGUGGGAGCACGCUUAGGCGUGUGACUGCGUACCUUUUGUAUAAUGGGUCAGCGACUUAUAUUCUGUAGCAAGGUUAACCGAAUAGGGGAGCCGAAGGGAAACCGAGUCUUAACUGGGCGUUAAGUUGCAGGGUAUAGACCCGAAACCCGGUGAUCUAGCCAUGGGCAGGUUGAAGGUUGGGUAACACUAACUGGAGGACCGAACCGACUAAUGUUGAAAAAUUAGCGGAUGACUUGUGGCUGGGGGUGAAAGGCCAAUCAAACCGGGAGAUAGCUGGUUCUCCCCGAAAGCUAUUUAGGUAGCGCCUCGUGAAUUCAUCUCCGGGGGUAGAGCACUGUUUCGGCAAGGGGGUCAUCCCGACUUACCAACCCGAUGCAAACUGCGAAUACCGGAGAAUGUUAUCACGGGAGACACACGGCGGGUGCUAACGUCCGUCGUGAAGAGGGAAACAACCCAGACCGCCAGCUAAGGUCCCAAAGUCAUGGUUAAGUGGGAAACGAUGUGGGAAGGCCCAGACAGCCAGGAUGUUGGCUUAGAAGCAGCCAUCAUUUAAAGAAAGCGUAAUAGCUCACUGGUCGAGUCGGCCUGCGCGGAAGAUGUAACGGGGCUAAACCAUG